UGACUCUGGAAUAAGCGCUGGAAACGGCGUCUAAUACCGGAUACGAGCUGCGAAGGCAUCUUCAGCAGCUGGAAAGAAUUUCGGUCAGGGAUGAGCUCGCGGCCUAUCAGCUUGUUGGUGAGGUAAUGGCUCACCAAGGCGUCGACGGGUAGCCGGCCUGAGAGGGUGACCGGCCACACUGGGACUGAGACACGGCCCAGACUCCUACGGGAGGCAGCAGUGGGGAAUAUUGCACAAUGGGCGAAAGCCUGAUGCAGCAACGCCGCGUGAGGGAUGACGGCCUUCGGGUUGUAAACCUCUUUUAGCAAGGAAGAAGCGAAAGUGACGGUACUUGCAGAAAAAGCGCCGGCUAACUACGUGCCAGCAGCCGCGGUAAUACGUAGGGCGCAAGCGUUAUCCGGAAUUAUUGGGCGUAAAGAGCUCGUAGGCGGUCUGUCGCGUCUGCUGUGAAAACCCGAGGCUCAACCUCGGGCCUGCAGUGGGUACGGGCAGACUAGAGUGCGGUAGGGGAGAUUGGAAUUCCUGGUGUAGCGGUGGAAUGCGCAGAUAUCAGGAGGAACACCGAUGGCGAAGGCAGAUCUCUGGGCCGUAACUGACGCUGAGGAGUGAAAGGGUGGGGAGCAAACAGGCUUAGAUACCCUGGUAGUCCACCCCGUAAACGUUGGGAACUAGUUGUGGGGUCCAUUCCACGGAUUCCGUGACGCAGCUAACGCAU
RNAcentral lists this ribosomal RNA (715 nucleotides) under uncultured bacterium. Its description in RNAcentral is "bacterial SSU rRNA". It matches the Rfam family "Bacterial small subunit ribosomal RNA", at positions 133 to 860 of the family's 1533-position model. The record is from RNAcentral.